Molecule: transfer RNA, 76 nt
Filed under: Magnetococcales bacterium
Lineage: Bacteria; Pseudomonadati; Pseudomonadota; Magnetococcia; Magnetococcales
Description: tRNA-Thr
Rfam family: tRNA
About the family: Transfer RNA (tRNA) molecules are approximately 80 nucleotides in length. Their secondary structure includes four short double-helical elements and three loops (D, anti-codon, and T loops).
Source: RNAcentral
GCCCAUGUAGCUCAGGCGGUAGAGCACUUCCUUGGUAAGGAAGAGGUCACCGGUUCAAUCCCGGUCAUGGGCUCCA